Peromyscus maniculatus bairdii (prairie deer mouse) is the source of this 655-nucleotide non-coding RNA. Lineage: Eukaryota; Metazoa; Chordata; Mammalia; Rodentia; Cricetidae. The record is from RefSeq and is a predicted model, not a curated record.
UUCGAAUAAAAAUAUCUCAAGGUGGGGGGAGGAAAGCAUUUGUCUCAAGAAAUGUUAAGAACAUGAUAGUGUGUGCCUUGGAACCAGCCACGGAGGCCUGCUGAUGUCCCAGAGCAGAAAUAGCCCGUUUCAUCAUCGGCUCUGGACAACCACGGCCUGCAUUCCUCGAGUAAGGAGCCAUACUCUGCCACGCUUUUGGAGCAAAAUAAUCUGGCCAGCCGCAGGCUGGGGGAAGGCUGGGCUGGGUUUCAAGGGGAGAGAUGCAGAAGGAUGAGAAAUAACCAGAGAAGAUGCAAGAACCUUCUGGAAAGCUGCUGGAAGACUUCUGGGUUGGGGCUCUGUCUGAAGAGGACCUGGCUUUGGUUACAAUGUCUUUGGCCCCCGCAGCACGGACGCUGCAGCGCCACUCCAGUCACCCUCCUUGGUGCUGGCUGUGAACUCCUCUGACCUAUGUUGAGAUGAACAUGAGUAUGUAAAACAAGCAACCAGGAAGCACUCUGCACCUAUUAAUACUAAGUCAGUCUCAUCUUCAGAAACGCUCACCUGCGGUGAGCAGAUACCUCUUCAUGAAAUAUGAAAUCCACCCAAAUUUAUUAAAGCCUCCUGUGCAGUGGUGGGAGCUCAAACCGAGCGGCCCUCCACGAGUGCCUCAUUA